GACGAACGCUGGCGGCGUGCCUAAUACAUGCAAGUAGAACGCUGAAGGAGGAGCUUGCUUCUCUGGAUGAGUUGCGAACGGGUGAGUAACGCGUAGGUAACCUGCCUUGUAGCGGGGGAUAACUAUUGGAAACGAUAGCUAAUACCGCAUAAGAGUAGAUGUUGCAUGACAUUUGCUUAAAAGGUGCAAUUGCAUCACUACCAGAUGGACCUGCGUUGUAUUAGCUAGUUGGUGGGGUAAAGGCUCACCAAGGCGACGAUACAUAGCCGACCUGAGAGGGGGAGCAGCCAGACUAGGAGAGAGACAGGGACAAGACGCCUAAGGGGGGCAGGAGUGGGGAAUAGUGGAUAAGGUGCGGAAGCCGGAGCCAGCCAUACCGCGUGGGGGAAGAAGGCCUUGGGGUAGGAAAGCCCGUUUGUUGGGAAAGAAAAGGAGCAGGUUAAUACCCGGAUGUUCUGACGGUACACAAAGAAUAAGCACCGGCUAACUUCGUG
RNAcentral lists this ribosomal RNA (494 nucleotides) under uncultured bacterium. RNAcentral describes it as "partial 16S ribosomal RNA". It matches the Rfam family "Bacterial small subunit ribosomal RNA", at positions 28 to 507 of the family's 1533-position model. The record is from RNAcentral.